RNAcentral lists this ribosomal RNA (957 nucleotides) under Inocybe sp. RNAcentral describes it as "partial large subunit ribosomal RNA". It matches the Rfam family "Eukaryotic large subunit ribosomal RNA", at positions 32 to 970 of the family's 3401-position model. The record is from RNAcentral. Lineage: Eukaryota; Fungi; Basidiomycota; Agaricomycetes; Agaricales; Inocybaceae.
UGAUAGCAUAUCAAUAAGCGGAGGAAAAGAAACUAACAAGGAUUCCCCUAGUAACUGCGAGUGAAGCGGGAAAAGCUCAAAUUUGAAAUCUGGCAGUUUCUCUACUGUCCGAGUUGUAGUCUAGAGAAGUGUUUACCUGUGCUGGACCGUGUACAAGUCUUCUGGAAUGGAGCAUCAUAGAGGGUGAGAAUCCCGUCUUUGACAUGGACUACCUGUACAUUAUGGGUGCGCUCUCGAAGAGUCGAGUUGUUUGGGAAUGCAGCUCAAAAUGGGUGGUAAAUGCCAUCUAAAGCUAAAUAUUGGCGAGAGACCGAUAGCGAACAAGUACCGUGAGGGAAAGAUGAAAAGAACUUUGGAAAGAGAGUUAAACAGUACGUGAAAUUGCUGAAAGGGAAACGCUUGAAGUCAGUCGCGUUGGCUGGAAAUCAGCCUUGCUUUUGCCUGGUGUAUUUUCUGGUUGAUGGGUCAGCAUCAAUUCUGAUCACUGGAUAAAGUCUCUUGGGAAUGUGGCAUCUUUUGGAUGUGUUAUAGCCCAUGGUCGCAUAUGGUGGUUGGGAUUGAGGAAUUCAGCACGCCGCAAGGCCGGGUUUCGACCACGAUUUCGUGCUUAGGAUGCUGGCAUAAUGGCUUUAAUCGACCCGUCUUGAAACACGGACCAAGGAGUCUAACAUGCCUGCGAGUGUUUGGGUGGAAAACCCAUGCGCGAAAUGAAAGUAAAAGUUGAGAUCCCUGUAAGAGGGGAGCAUUGACGCCCGGACCAGACCUUUUGUGACGGAUCCGCGGUAGAGCAUGUAUGUUGGGACCCGAAAGAUGGUGAACUAUGCCUGAAUAGGGUGAAGCCAGAGGAAACUCUGGUGGAGGCUCGUAGCGAUUCUGACGUGCAAAUCGAUCGUCAAAUUUGGGUAUAGGGGCGAAAGACUAAUCGAACCAUCUAGUAGCUGGUUCCUGCCGAGCUCC